Scylla paramamosain (green mud crab) is the source of this 1651-nucleotide long non-coding RNA. RefSeq lists it as uncharacterized. The transcript has 3 exons. NCBI's taxonomy places the organism in Eukaryota, Metazoa, Arthropoda, Malacostraca, Decapoda, Portunidae. The record is from RefSeq and is a predicted model, not a curated record.
AAGGUUCAGAGUGUUCGAAGCCUUGAGUUGCUCGGAAGAUUGAACCAUCGCCCUCUCCGGAGUCCGGCUUUCAGUCAGUGCGUCGCAGCUCGCUAUGGACGGCAGUGGCUGUGUUGGAUCUGUUUUGAUUGUGUAUUUGUUUCUCGCCUGUGUCUAUCCUCAGCUUGUAAAUCAAGUCGGCCAUCCACAUCCACUGCCCGAGUCGUGUUAAAGGUAUUAGGACUCCUUGGUACUCUGCAAUGAAGAGAUACAGAAGAGUUAGAAGGAAUAUGAAGGAGAGCAGAGGAGGAGUUUCGGAGGAUGAACAACAUGAACAAGAAGAGAAGAGGAGGAGGAGCACUGCGUAUGAGGAGACAGAGGACGACAACGAGCAACAACGUGUGUACAAGAGAAGAAAGGUGGAGCGAGGAGGAGCAAUGCGUACGAGGAGAGAGAGGACGACAAUGAGCAACAACAACGUGUACAAGAGAAGAAAGGUGGAGGGAGGAAGGCGAGCAACACAACAAGUACAAGAGAAGAGGAGGAGGAACAACAAAAAUCACAGGUGUUCUAAAAAUGUUAAUGUGUGACAUGCAUGAAGGUUGUUGUUUAACGUUACACUGCUCCUGCUGAGAUGUUUGUUGGAUAGCUUUGUUAAUUUAUCUUACAUGACUGUCCACAAAUGGUAAGGAUUCUUUAUACUUUGUUUUAACAAUAGAAUUUUUGUAGACAUGGAAUCUAUUAAACAAUGCAGUAUAGACCAAGAAGCCAUCAUCGGCCUUUGGACAAAUCUGCCUCUCCAUGCAGAAUAAAAAGACUAGGUGUUGAGCAGAUUCUAAUUUCCUAAACUUUACCAAAAUGCUUAAAAUGUUUGCCUGAAAGCUAACUGCCUGAAAGCUAACUAAGUCACAGCCUUCAGACAAACAAACAUUUGGUAAAAUAAAUUUUUAAGGAAUUUUUUUAACAUGAGCAUUGUAUAAUAUUAUAUAUAUAGCCUUUAUUUUUUGCAGGGAGGGAGGCAAAUAAUAUUUUUUUGUCCAGAGGGAGAUAGUGGCUUGGUCUGAACUGCAAUACUUUAUAGAUAAUAUUGAUUUUUUUGUCAGUAAAAGUAUAUAAAGAAUUCUCUAUAGUUUUUGGUGAUUGUCCAAGCAGUCAGCAAGCAUCACAUGUUAAUUAAUAAUAAUGGUAUUGUUGUAGAUAAUAGAUUGCUGAAGCUUAACAGACUUAAUAUGUGGAAUUGGUCUCUGGCAAAAAUUUCUUGAAAUACCAUUUUUGCAUGACGCUCAUUAACGAUGUUGGCUGGCGACAUUGGACAAAACAAAAUGUAGUUACAUUUGAAUGCGUGACAUUGACUGUGAAACCCGUUACUCUAAUGAAACAAAUGUACUUUCUCUUCUCAGACCCAACCACACUUAUGUUUACAACCAUGUUAUUAAAGAUACUCUCUCCAUGCUGUCAGUCUAGCAGCAUUCAACUGAUCCCAUCCUGUAUCUGUUAUGUUAUUUGAUCUCUUCUUUCUUGCUGCAUGUUGAUUACUGAUGAUUCCAGAUUUGAUCAUGUUCGGCCAGUUCUCAUGGUGUGCUGCUGUUGGUGGAAAUCAUGUCGUUACAUUCUUAUAAGCUUUCAUGUAUUAUGAUGACCUGAAGCCUUAAUAAAUAUAAAACUAAAUAAA